GUGGGGAAUUUUGGACAAUGGGCGCAAGCCUGAUCCAGCUAUUCCGCGUGUGGGAUGAAGGCCCUCGGGUUGUAAACCACUUUUGUAGAGAACGAAAAGACACCUUCGAAUAAAGGGUGUUGCUGACGGUACUCUAAGAAUAAGCACCGGCUAACUACGUGCCAGCAGCCGCGGUAAUACGUAGGGUGCGAGCGUUAAUCGGAAUUACUGGGCGUAAAGGGUGCGCAGGCGGUUGAGUAAGACAGAUGUGAAAUCCCCGAGCUUAACUCGGGAAUGGCAUAUGUGACUGCUCGACUAGAGUGUGUCAGAGGGAGGUGGAAUUCCACGUGUAGCAGUGAAAUGCGUAGAUAUGUGGAAGAACACCGAUGGCGAAGGCAGCCUCCUGGGACAUAACUGACGCUCAGGCACGAAAGCGUGGGGAGCAAACAGGA
RNAcentral lists this ribosomal RNA (431 nucleotides) under uncultured bacterium. Its description in RNAcentral is "bacterial SSU rRNA". It matches the Rfam family "Bacterial small subunit ribosomal RNA", at positions 354 to 777 of the family's 1533-position model. The record is from RNAcentral.